UUUUUCAUUAUCAAACUUGAUUAAAUGCAUAUUGAUAGACAUAUGUUAAAGUGGAUACUUCAGUGAUAAACCUUGAUGUCGAACAACUGAAGCAAAACCAUGUUUAUCGGCACAAUAAAGAUGGUCAAUGAUUUAAUCAAACAAAAUGUUUUCUUUUUUCAGAAUGAUGCGUCCUCCCCUUGCCGUGGGGAAGCGCAGCAGGCGAGCAAAGAAAAAACAAGGGGGAGGACGUAAUUUCGUUUCAUGCAAACAUUAAGUGAGAAAAAUGUUUCAUGGCAAACAAAAUGGCGGAUUUAGAAUGCAAAGUACUGAUUCAGGAACCAACUUUUGCCUGGAACUUCACCAUGGCCCGAUUUAGAAGGCGAACGAUCCUCACGUUAUACAGAAAAUCACACAAGACCGC
Molecule: long non-coding RNA, 403 nt
Organism: Mya arenaria
Lineage: Eukaryota; Metazoa; Mollusca; Bivalvia; Myida; Myidae
Exons: 3
Source: RefSeq, a predicted model, not a curated record